This 163-nucleotide ribosomal RNA is filed under the name Exophiala xenobiotica. RNAcentral's name for it is "partial small subunit ribosomal RNA". It matches the Rfam family "Eukaryotic small subunit ribosomal RNA", at positions 1639 to 1799 of the family's 1831-position model. The record is from RNAcentral. Lineage: Eukaryota; Fungi; Ascomycota; Eurotiomycetes; Chaetothyriales; Herpotrichiellaceae.
CGUUGAUUACGUCCCUGCCCUUUGUACACACCGCCCGUCGCUACUACCGAUUGAAUGGCUCAGUGAGGCCUUGGGACUGGCUCAGAGAGGUCGGCAGCGACCACUCAGAGCCGGAAACUUGGUCAAGCUUGGUCAUUUAGAGGAAGUAAAAGUCGUAACAAGG